AUUGAACGCUGGCGGCAUGCCUUACACAUGCAAGUCGAACCGCAGAACGGGAGCAAUCCUGGUGGCGAGUGGCGAACGGGUGAGUAAUGUAUCGGAACGUGCCCAGUCGUGGGGGAUAACGUAGCGAAAGCUACGCUAAUACCGCAUACGAUCUAUGGAUGAAAGCAGGGGAUCGCAAGACCUCGCGCGAUUGGAACGGCCGAUAUCAGAUUAGGUAGUUGGUGGGGUAAAGGCCCACCAAGCCUGCGAUCGGUAGCUGGUCUGAGUGGACGACCAGCCAAACUGGAGCCAAGAAACGGUACCGACGCCUACGGGAGGGAGCGGUGUUGAAUUUUGGACCAGGGGAGCAAGCCCGCUCCAGCAAGGCUUCGUGCAGGAUGAAGGCCUUCGGGUUGUAAACUGCUUUUGUCCGGAACAAAACGGCUUUUUCUAAUACAGAGCGGUAAUGACUGUACCGUAAGAAUACGGACCGGCUACGUACGUGCCAGCCGCCGCGGUAA
Molecule: ribosomal RNA, 500 nt
Filed under: uncultured bacterium
Lineage: Bacteria
Description: partial 16S ribosomal RNA
Rfam family: Bacterial small subunit ribosomal RNA
Source: RNAcentral